This 252-nucleotide ribosomal RNA is filed under the name uncultured bacterium. RNAcentral describes it as "partial 16S ribosomal RNA". It matches the Rfam family "Bacterial small subunit ribosomal RNA", at positions 524 to 776 of the family's 1533-position model. The record is from RNAcentral.
GACAGAGGUGCCGAGCGUUAGGCGGAAUCACUGGGCUUAAAGCGUGUGUAGGCGGAUCGUUAAGUACCUUGUGAAAUCCCACGGCUCACCGUGGAACGGCUGGGUAUACUGGCGGUCUUGGGCCAUUCAGGGGGCGACUGGAACAAGCGGUGGAGCGGUGAAAUGCGUAGAUAUCGCUUGGAACGCCGAAGGUGAAAACAGGUCGCUGGGGGAUGUGCCGCGUGAGACACGAAAGCCAGGGGAGCAAACGGG